ACCCAAAGUCACUUUAGCCAACCUGCAAAGGAGGCGAGCGUUUAAGGUAUGGGGAGUGAUUGGGGUGAAGUCGUAACAAGGUAGCUGUAGGUGAACCUGCAGAAGGAUCA
Molecule: ribosomal RNA, 110 nt
Filed under: uncultured eukaryote
Lineage: Eukaryota
Description: partial small subunit ribosomal RNA
Rfam family: Bacterial small subunit ribosomal RNA
Source: RNAcentral